This 253-nucleotide ribosomal RNA is filed under the name uncultured bacterium. RNAcentral describes it as "partial 16S ribosomal RNA". It matches the Rfam family "Bacterial small subunit ribosomal RNA", at positions 524 to 776 of the family's 1533-position model. The record is from RNAcentral.
UACGGGGGGGGCAAGCGUUGUUCGGAAUUACUGGGCGUAAAGGGCGCGUAGGCGGCCUUCUAAGUCGGACGUGAAAUCCCUCGGCUUAACCGAGGAACUGCGUCCGAUACUGAAAGGCUUGAAUCCGGGAGAGGGAUGUGGAAUUCCAGGUGUAGCGGUGAAAUGCGUAGAUAUCUGGAGGAACACCGGUGGCGAAGGCGGCAUCCUGGACCGGUAUUGACGCUGAGGCGCGAAAGCCAGGGGAGCGAACGGG